AUUGAACGCUGGCGGCAGGCUUAACACAUGCAAGUCGAGCGGAGAUGAGGUGCUUGCACCUUAUCUUAGCGGCGGACGGGUGAGUAAUGCUUAGGAAUCUGCCUAUUAGUGGGGGACAACAUUCCGAAAGGAAUGCUAAUACCGCAUACGUCCUACGGGAGAAAGCAGGGGAUCUUCGGACCUUGCGCUAAUAGAUGAGCCUAAGUCGGAUUAGCUAGUUGGUGGGGUAAAGGCCUACCAAGGCGACGAUCUGUAGCGGGUCUGAGAGGAUGAUCCGCCACACUGGGACUGAGACACGGCCCAGACUCCUACGGGAGGCAGCAGUGGGGAAUAUUGGACAAUGGGGGGAACCCCGAUCCAGCCAUGCCGCGUGUGUGAAGAAGGCCUUAUGGUUGUAAAGCACUUUAAGCGAGGAGGAGGCUACUGAGACUAAUACUCUUGGAUAGUGGACGUUACUCGCAGAAUAAGCACCGGCUAACUCUGUGCCAGCAGCCGCCGUAA
This 501-nucleotide ribosomal RNA is filed under the name uncultured bacterium. RNAcentral's name for it is "partial 16S ribosomal RNA". It matches the Rfam family "Bacterial small subunit ribosomal RNA", at positions 30 to 523 of the family's 1533-position model. The record is from RNAcentral.